RNAcentral lists this ribosomal RNA (529 nucleotides) under Brevibacterium sp. RNAcentral's name for it is "bacterial SSU rRNA". It matches the Rfam family "Bacterial small subunit ribosomal RNA", at positions 339 to 878 of the family's 1533-position model. Lineage: Bacteria; Bacillati; Actinomycetota; Actinomycetes; Micrococcales; Brevibacteriaceae. RNAcentral also lists the same sequence under 1 other name. The record is from RNAcentral.
CUACGGGAGGCAGCAGUGGGGAAUAUUGCACAAUGGGGGAAACCCUGAUGCAGCGACGCAGCGUGCGGGAUGACGGCCUUCGGGUUGUAAACCCCUUUCAGCAGGGAAGAAGCGAAAGUGACGGUACCUGCAGAAGAAGUACCGGCUAACUACGUGCCAGCAGCCGCGGUAAUACGUAGGGUACGAGCGUUGUCCGGAAUUAUUGGGCGUAAAGAGCUCGUAGGUGGUUGGUCACGUCUGCUGUGGAAACSCAACGCUUAACGUUGGGCGUGCAGUGGGUACGGGCUGACUAGAGUGCAGUAGGGGAGUCUGGAAUUCCUGGUGUAGCGGUGAAAUGCGCAGAUAUCAGGAGGAACACCGGUGGCGAAGGCGGGACUCUGGGCUGUAACUGACACUGAGGAGCGAAAGCAUGGGGAGCGAACAGGAUUAGAUACCCUGGUAGUCCAUGCCGUAAACGUUGGGCACUAGGUGUGGGGGRCAUUCCACGUUCUCCGCGCCGUAGCUAACGCAUUAAGUGCCCCGCCUGGGG